This 64-nucleotide transfer RNA is filed under the name Eisenia nana. Its description in RNAcentral is "tRNA-Gly". Lineage: Eukaryota; Metazoa; Annelida; Clitellata; Crassiclitellata; Lumbricidae. The record is from RNAcentral.
AGGUUUUUAGUAUAUUAGUACAUUUACCUUCCAAGUAAAAAGAUUAUGAAUCGUAAAAAACCUA